CAGCCUUUUCCUAAAGUUAGAUAGGAGGAUUGGCACGUGGCUUGGUUACGAGGAUGAAUCUGUAGCGAGAUAGAACAAACCACAAGGGUGACAAGGCUGUCUAUACCAAACCACAAGCUCUUGGACCGCCACAUUAAAUGUGGCGACUGCAGUCAGGUAACCUGGGGUGAGAUCUUUAAUGCAUCAUUUAGGGGCCUGUGUUUUGCACAACCAAAUGAGGCAGUGUUUUACCUGUAUUUCCAGCAUUAUCCAGCUGGUGUCACUUCAGCCCCAAUUUUUUUUGUUUCAAUUAACCAGCUCACCAAUUCUCAAAGCAAUAAGGAUUAUUUCCCCAACAUUACAUUUUUUACAUUUUGGUCAUUUAGCAGACGCUCUUAUCCAGAGCGACUUACAGUUAGUGAGUGCAUAA
Long non-coding RNA from Coregonus clupeaformis (lake whitefish), 409 nucleotides. RefSeq lists it as uncharacterized. NCBI's taxonomy places the organism in Eukaryota, Metazoa, Chordata, Actinopteri, Salmoniformes, Salmonidae. The record is from RefSeq and is a predicted model, not a curated record. The transcript is spliced from 4 exons.